AAUGAACGUUGGCGGCAUGGAUUAGGCAUGCAAGUCGAGCGAGAAGGGUUUUGAAGCUUGCUUUAGAACCCGGAAAGCGGCGCAAGGGAGAGUAACGAGUAGUUAUCUACCCCAAGGACCGGAAUAGAUGCGGGAAACUGCAGGUAAUGCCGGAUAAUAUCCCCGGAUCAAAGGUGUGAUUCCGCCUUGGGAGGAGACUGCUUUGUCCUAGCUAGUUGGUAGGGUAAUGGCCUACCAAGGCUACGAUGCAUAGCGGGCGUGAGAGCGUGGCCCGUCUCACUGGGACUGAAACACUGCCCAGACACCUACGGGUGGCUGCAGUCGAGAAUCUUCGGCAAUGGGCGAAAGCCUGACCGAGCGAUGCCGCGUGCGGGAUGAAGGCCCUCGGGUUGUAAACCGCUGUCGUAGAGGAGAAAGGUCUGAUGAAGAAUCAGAUUUGAUCUAUUCUAGGAGGAAGUCGGGGCUAAGUUCGUGCCAGCAGCCGCCGUAA
Molecule: ribosomal RNA, 490 nt
Filed under: uncultured bacterium
Lineage: Bacteria
Description: partial 16S ribosomal RNA
Rfam family: Bacterial small subunit ribosomal RNA
Source: RNAcentral